This 492-nucleotide ribosomal RNA is filed under the name uncultured bacterium. RNAcentral's name for it is "partial 16S ribosomal RNA". It matches the Rfam family "Bacterial small subunit ribosomal RNA", at positions 29 to 507 of the family's 1533-position model. The record is from RNAcentral.
AGUGAACGCUGGCGGUAGGCCUAACACAUGCAAGUCGAACGGCAGCACAGUAAGAGCUUGCUCUUACGGGUGGCGAGUGGCGGACGGGUGAGGAAUACAUCGGAAUCUACUUUUUCGUGGGGGAUAACGUAGGGAAACUUACGCUAAUACCGCAUACGACCUACGGGUGAAAGCAGGGGAUCUUCGGACCUUGCGCGAUUGAAUGAGCCGAUGUCGGAUUAGCUAGUUGGCGGGGUAAAGGCCCACCAAGGCGACGAUCCGUAGCUGGUCUGAGAGGAUGAUCGGCCACACGGGAACUGGACCACGGUCCAGACUCCUACGGGAGGCAGCAGUGGGGAAUAUUGGACAAUGGGGGCAAGCCUGAUCCAGCCAUACCGAGUGGGUGAAGAAGGCCUUGGGGUUGUAAAGCCCUUUUGUUGGGAAAGAAAAGCAGCAGGUUAAUACCCCGCUGUUCUGACGGUACCCAAAGAAUAAGCACCGGCUAACUACGUG